GUGAAUUUUGUGUGUCUUAUUGAAAAUUUUGUAAAAUAUAUGUGUAUUAAACAUGAAAAAUAUGUACGUACAUACAUGUACAAUUCGAGUAUUGUACGUUUGCUUUUUAAAAAAACAUGAAUUUUAUCGGGUCUUUAAUACGUGUACAGAACACGGAUGAUGUAUUAUUGAAAAAUACGUAUAUACGUGUUUAAUACAGUAUGAAACGUG
This 210-nucleotide long non-coding RNA is filed under the name Prunus persica (peach). RNAcentral describes it as "long non-coding RNA (PPER_LNC002675)". Lineage: Eukaryota; Viridiplantae; Streptophyta; Magnoliopsida; Rosales; Rosaceae. The record is from RNAcentral.